GGCCGCCGAGAGGGUUCACAAAGGGUAGGGUGGUGUGGAGCAAGGCAGGGUCCUCGCAGGCAGUGCCAAGAUUGAGCUGGGGGUGGGCAGAGUGGGCGGGGUGCGGACCCAUGGCCCUACGCAUCCUGGGCCAGGUCUCUUGUGGUGCUUCACGCUCUCGACCUGUGAGUGGUGCCUGCUAGAGCUGCCCAGAUCCCUUUUCCCUACCCCUUCUGACCCUGGACCCAGAGUGGUGGUUGCGAUCUGCUACCGUGACGUCAGCCCUCAUUCGUUCGUUCCACAAACUCCACAGCUCUGGUCCAUUAGAGGAAGGAGGUCCCAGAAUAGCUGGGAAAUUACGAGAACAGCCUCACUGCACGAGUUGGUGAAUGCUGUGAUGGCGAUUGUAUGAUGGACGGUGAUGUUGAAACCAGACUGGGGAAUGACCGCCCCAUCCGGAGAGCUAAAAUAAGUUUUUCCUGGGAACGAAGACUAUGAUGCUCCCUUCUUUAGUAGUCACCUGACCCAAUGAAAAGCACCAAGGAUUCUCUUUUGUUGAAUUUGAGUUGGCAGAGUUUGGUCAGAUGAAGACUGGGUGGAGAAGUUUGCUGGGAAGAGGAUAAAGAGGAAGGUGGUUGAGACUUCCCAAAGCAGAAAGCCAGGAGCGCAGCCCAUUUACUGCCUUCUCCAGGAAGCUUUUCUGAAUCCUCCAGUGAGUAAGGGAGAGCCCACUGCUAAAAAAGGCCUAGUCAAAUCCUCAGGUGUACAUGGACAUCAAGAUUGGGAACAAGCCGGCUGGCUGCAUCCAAACCCUCCUGCGUUCCGACGUCGUGCCCAUGACCACAGAGAAUUUUCUCUACAUGUGCACCCAUUUAAAGGACUCGGCUUCAAGGGAAGCAGCUUCCACCGCAUUAUCCCCCAGUUCAUUUGCCAGGGCAGUGAUUUCACAAACCACGGUGGCACCAGGGGUCUGCGCAGGCAUGGCACUAAGUGUCCCAUGGCACAUUUGGCCCUCAUGGAGGCCUCAAAAGGGCAGGACCAGCACCCUCUUCUACGGAGGAAGGAACGGGCACAGCAGAAACAAGGAGAGUCAGCAAUUACCAGCCAGCCAAGGUCCUGGAAGCUGACGUAGAGCUCGUGCCGACGGCAGACCUGCCGGCCGUGGGAGCCGCGGACGUCAUCUGCAGGGACAGAAGGGGCAAGGUCUUUUCUGGGGUUCCUGCUGUGUGCAGCUACUAUGGGGUACCAGGGUGGGGGAUGCCCUGAUGAGCACAUUUGUCAAAUAAAUGAAUGACAGGAAACCA
This is a long non-coding RNA of Homo sapiens (human), 1283 nucleotides long. Ensembl annotates it as peptidylprolyl isomerase E like (pseudogene). Its record names the gene PPIEL. NCBI's taxonomy places the organism in Eukaryota, Metazoa, Chordata, Mammalia, Primates, Hominidae. The record is from Ensembl.